AGGGUGUAAACGCUGCAGACUUGGUGUUGGAAGCCCUUUGGGGGCAUUCAGUGCCGGAGAGAAGUUGUUAAGUCUGCUACUUGGGGAGUACGUCCGCAAGGAUGAAACUUAAAGGAAUUGGCGGGGGAGCACCGCAACGGGAGGAGCGUGCGGUUUAAUUGGAUUCAACACCGUAAAACUCACCAGGGAAGACUGUUACAUGAAGGCCGAGAUGAAGGUUUUACAUGACUAGCUGAGAGGUGGUGCAUGGCGUCAGUGACU
RNAcentral lists this ribosomal RNA (261 nucleotides) under uncultured archaeon. RNAcentral describes it as "partial 16S ribosomal RNA". It matches the Rfam family "Archaeal small subunit ribosomal RNA", at positions 748 to 1008 of the family's 1478-position model. The record is from RNAcentral.